This 187-nucleotide ribosomal RNA is filed under the name Clostridioides difficile. RNAcentral describes it as "partial 16S ribosomal RNA". It matches the Rfam family "Bacterial small subunit ribosomal RNA", at positions 1359 to 1533 of the family's 1533-position model. The record is from RNAcentral. Lineage: Bacteria; Bacillati; Bacillota; Clostridia; Peptostreptococcales; Peptostreptococcaceae.
GCGGUGAAUGCGUUCCCGGGUCUUGUACACACCGCCCGUCACACCACGGGAGUUGGAGACGCCCGAAGCCGAUUAUCUAACCUUUUGGAAGAAGUCGUCGAAGGUGGAAUCAAUAACUGGGGUGAAGUCGUAACAAGGUAGCCGUAUCGGAAGGUGCGGCUGGAUCACCUCCUUUCUAAGGAGAAUU